UCAAAUUGAGUAAAAUCAAUUUAGCAUAGAAACAGUUUUUGGCACACCCAAUGGAACUGAUUCUACUUUCUAUUCUCUUCAUUCACAUUCAAUUCGAAGUUUUCACAAAAAAAUUUUAGACAUCAUAUGCCUAAAACAAGGAUUUGUUAUGAAAAAUAAGCUAUAGGGUCUAGCCUUAAUGGAGUUGUUGAUGAAGCUAAACUUAAUAAAUAAACACAAGAUAUUGAGUCACCUUCAGCAUAAAAAGUGACCCCAAUUGCAUUUAACGUAACUAGCAUUGGCACUCAAAUUGCUCAAUAAGUGACUGAUCAAAUUGAGGCUAGCAUCAAAGCUAUUUUUGAGACUAGCUUCAAGUCAUUUCUAUUCAGCUGGAAUGAGUUAGCUAAGGCUCCAUGGGAAAUCUAUUAGAAGCUAGACUGCGUAGGGGCCAAGCGACAAUCUUAAGUAGUCACACAGUGACUAACCAACUAGAGUCCAAUGAGGUGUAAGAAACACUAUCCCAGGAGAAGCAAUGCCACCAACCACCUUAAAGUAGAGAAACAACUCCAAUGCCUACUCCUACACAAGUAGUAAGGUUAUUCAGUGGUCGAUAGGAAGGUAACUUCUACACCACUACCAAUCCUACCACUCACCCACGUGUAUAAUGCUGUAAAUGUAAGUAUUGUCUUGAAUAAUGUGAAUAAUGCUAGUAUUAACUAUGUGGCACCACCACCACUUGUUUAUGAACCCAUAUUACAUCACCUUAAGCCUCAUGUUGACCGUGAAGCACUUAGGACAAUUAUUGAAGAGUUGUACGGACCUUACCUUCAUCAGAUAAAUUGUCUUAAGUUUCAUAAACCUUAUCCAAACUAGGUGGAUAGGAAUAAUCCCUUCCCUAAAGGUUAUAAAAUACCUAAGUUCAUUUUGUUCUCAGGAAAUGGGUUACAAUCUACUUUAGAUAUUGGUAGGUUUACUAUGCAAUGUGGUGAGCUUACCAUUUAUGAGAAUUAUGACCUGUUUAAAUUAAGAUUGUUUUUCAAUUCCCUAACUACAGUUGCUUUUUCUUAGUAUGCUUUAUUGCCCAGAGAUUUUGUACACACUUAGCAAGACAUGGAUAAGUUGAGAGAAGGG
This 1110-nucleotide unclassified non-coding RNA is filed under the name Hevea brasiliensis (rubber tree). Lineage: Eukaryota; Viridiplantae; Streptophyta; Magnoliopsida; Malpighiales; Euphorbiaceae. The record is from RNAcentral.